RNAcentral lists this ribosomal RNA (492 nucleotides) under uncultured bacterium. RNAcentral describes it as "partial 16S ribosomal RNA". It matches the Rfam family "Bacterial small subunit ribosomal RNA", at positions 29 to 507 of the family's 1533-position model. The record is from RNAcentral.
AGUGAACGCUGGCGGUAGGCCUAACACAUGCAAGUCGAACGGCAGCACAGUAAGAGCUUGCUCUUACGGGUGGCGAGUGGCGGACGGGUGAGGAAUACAUCGGAAUCUACUUUUUCGUGGGGGAUAACGUAGGGAAACUUACGCUAAUACCGCAUACGACCUACGGGUGAAAGCAGGGGAUCUUCGGACCUUGCGCGAUUGAAUGAGCCGAUGUCGGAUUAGCUAGUUGGCGGGGUAAAGGCCCACCAAGGCGACGAUCCGUAGCUGGUCUGAGAGGAUGAUCCGCCCCACUGGAACUGAGACACGGUCCAGACUCCUACGGGAGGCAGCAGUGGGGAAUAUUGGACAAUGGGCGCAAGCCUGAUCCAGCCAUACCGCGUGGGUGAAGAAGGCCUUCGGGUUGUAAAGCCCUUUUGUUGGGAAAGAAAAGCAGCAGGUUAAUACCCCGCUGUUCUGACGGUACCCAAAGAAUAAGCACCGGCUAACUUCGUG